RNAcentral lists this long non-coding RNA (292 nucleotides) under Solanum tuberosum (potato). RNAcentral describes it as "long non-coding RNA (STUB_LNC004279)". The record is from RNAcentral. Lineage: Eukaryota; Viridiplantae; Streptophyta; Magnoliopsida; Solanales; Solanaceae.
UGUUUUGAUUUUUGUAUUAUACCACAAAGAAUGUCCAAUAAUACAUAUGUAUCAUUUGUAAAACAAAUUUGUGUUCAAUAUUUUGAAAUAAACGUGCAACACAUUCUCAGAUAUCAAUAGCUUAGUGUGUGAGGAUUUGUAUGUUACAGUAGGUGGUCAAACUAAUAUUAAUUAGAAAAAAAUCUAAACAAUAAUUUGGGACUAAGAUAAUAAUUUCUUAUUAACUCUUAUAAUCAACUUAUUGAUUUCAAAUUUAAUCACAAGAUUUGAUUAUGUCCCACUCUGUAUGUAU